GGUAAUCCAAGGAAAGAGUUGAUGAUGGUCCCAACGAGGUAAGUCAUUGGUGAGUAUACACUUGAGUUAUGUUACGAGUUGUGCAAGUAUGUAUAUUAAGCCUAUGAGAAUGCCUUGAUAUGUGAUGAUCUAUGAUGCAUAAUAUGUGUUCUUACCAUGAUGGAUGAAAUGAUGUUGUAUUAAUUUUGUGAACAAUGAUCAUGAAUGAGUAACUUAGCCUUGACAGAUUUGAGUUACUGUAGUAGUGAAACUUUGAAAAUACACUAAAAAUAGUGGAAAAUUAGUUAGAGGUAGAAUAAAAUAUGAGAUUAAAGCUUAAUGAGUCUAUUUUCACAUGAAAGAAACAGGGGAAGAAAAAGAAUUCUAUAUUGUGUGAUAUUUGAAUUCUUGUAAAACAGGGUCUGAAUGAAUUCGAGAUCCCCUAUUCUAAUUUUAGAAAUUCAUCAUAAAUUGUAAAAAAAUUAUUAAGAGUCAUACCUUAGAUACAUGGAUUCCUUAUUGAGUCUAUUUUUAAGGGAAACAAAUGGCAUUGUCAUUGGAAUUCUGUACAGGGAGAAAUUUGGUUUGUAGUGCACAAGGGUCAGAGUGGUCAUACCC
This 597-nucleotide long non-coding RNA is filed under the name Gossypium barbadense (sea-island cotton). Its description in RNAcentral is "long non-coding RNA (GBAR_LNC008382)". The record is from RNAcentral. Lineage: Eukaryota; Viridiplantae; Streptophyta; Magnoliopsida; Malvales; Malvaceae.